This is a long non-coding RNA of Entelurus aequoreus (snake pipefish), 723 nucleotides long. RefSeq lists it as uncharacterized. The record is from RefSeq and is a predicted model, not a curated record. The transcript is spliced from 5 exons. Lineage: Eukaryota; Metazoa; Chordata; Actinopteri; Syngnathiformes; Syngnathidae.
UUUGUAUUUGUGGUCCAAUAUGGCUCUUUCAACAUUUUGGGUUGCCAACCCCUGAGUUAGGCAAAGGUCUUUUUGUUGGAAACCCCGUAGAUUCCGUUUCAGGGGCACGAGUGAGUGGGUGUUAAUAUCGACCUUGUGGCCAUGCAGAGCUGGGGAAGGAUUGAAUGCAGUGCAAAUAUUGCAAAUUUGAAAGCUUCAAUAAAGAGGCUCUCCUGAAGCACUUUCGACUUCGUCACGGUACAGGUGCAAACUGGCCCUGUAUUCACACAGACUGUGUGUGUAUUUAAAACACCUGGUGCAUUACGGUCACACUUCUCAAGAUCACACACAACUGCGGAGAGAGGUAGUAGAGGGGCAGCCUAUGGUAUCCCAAGUCCAGCAGAGAUGGCCUGCACUGUUUUCCUGUGAAGAGAUAUCUGAAGAAUUUCAUGGCAUCACCAGCAAAGACCUCCUGAAGACUUUCAAUGAGUCCCUUCAGACUGUACCGGGCUAGAAAGGGAGCUUUUGGUCAGCAAAUAGAAGACUUCCUGGAUAAGCUUGAUGAACAGACCCCCCACUGAGAGGCGGUCAACGAGGGAUUUGAAGGACGCGUGGACUGCGGGCUGAAUGGCCGCCCGGCUGAGAGCGGCGAGGAGGGAAAGUUCAUUAUCUCGCUGAAAAGGGAACCGAUGGCUUUGGCCGUCGCCGUGGCAACGAGCCUGUCUUUUGCCGUCAGCCCCAUGA